Molecule: ribosomal RNA, 467 nt
Filed under: uncultured bacterium
Lineage: Bacteria
Description: partial 16S ribosomal RNA
Rfam family: Bacterial small subunit ribosomal RNA
Source: RNAcentral
GACGAACGCUGGCGGCGUGCUUAACACAUGCAAGUCGAACGGAAAGGCCCUGCUUUUGUGGGGUGCUCGAGUGGCGAACGGGUGAGUAACACGUGAGUAACCUGCCCUUGACUUUGGGAUAACUUCAGGAAACUGGGGCUAAUACCGGAUAGGAGCUCCUGCUGCAUGGUGGGGGUUGGAAAGUUUCGGCGGUUGGGGAUGGACUCGCGGCUUAUCAGCUUGUUGGUGGGGUAGUGGCUUACCAAGGCUUUGACGGGUAGCCGGCCUGAGAGGGUGACCGGCCAAAUGGGAACGGGGAUACGGCCAGACCUCCGACGGGGGGAAGCAGGGGGGAAUAUGGCACAAGGGGCGGAAGCCUGAUGCAGAAACGCCGCGUGGGGGAGGACGGCCUUCGGGUGGUAAACCGCUUUCGCCGGUGACGAAGCGGGGGUGACGGUAAUGGGUAAAGAAGCACCGGCUAACUACGU